GGGGGUAUAGCUUAGUGGUAGAGCAUUCGACUGCAGAUCGAGAUGUCUCCGGUUCAAAACCCGGGUGUCUUCU
Non-coding RNA from Trichonephila inaurata madagascariensis, 73 nucleotides. Lineage: Eukaryota; Metazoa; Arthropoda; Arachnida; Araneae; Nephilidae. The record is from the annotation of a GenBank genome assembly.